This 281-nucleotide ribosomal RNA is filed under the name Anaerobutyricum hallii. RNAcentral's name for it is "partial 16S ribosomal RNA". It matches the Rfam family "Bacterial small subunit ribosomal RNA", at positions 524 to 802 of the family's 1533-position model. Lineage: Bacteria; Bacillati; Bacillota; Clostridia; Lachnospirales; Lachnospiraceae. The record is from RNAcentral.
UACGUAUGGAGCAAGCGUUAUCCGGAUUUACUGGGUGUAAAGGGUGCGUAGGUGGCAGUGCAAGUCAGAUGUGAAAGGCCGGGGCUCAACCCCGGAGCUGCAUUUGAAACUGCUCGGCUAGAGUACAGGAGAGGCAGGCGGAAUUCCUAGUGUAGCGGUGAAAUGCGUAGAUAUUAGGAGGAACACCAGUGGCGAAGGCGGCCUGCUGGACUGUUACUGACACUGAGGCACGAAAGCGUGGGGAGCAAACAGGAUUAGAUACCCUGGUAGUGGCUACGACU